RNAcentral lists this ribosomal RNA (576 nucleotides) under Salmonella enterica subsp. enterica serovar Muenchen. RNAcentral describes it as "partial 23S ribosomal RNA". It matches the Rfam family "Bacterial large subunit ribosomal RNA", at positions 2261 to 2842 of the family's 2925-position model. RNAcentral also lists the same sequence under 3 other names. Lineage: Bacteria; Pseudomonadati; Pseudomonadota; Gammaproteobacteria; Enterobacterales; Enterobacteriaceae. The record is from RNAcentral.
GUGGGUAGUUUGACUGGGGCGGUCUCCUCCUAAAGAGUAACGGAGGAGCACGAAGGUUGGCUAAUCCUGGUCGGACAUCAGGAGGUUAGUGCAAUGGCAUAAGCCAGCUUGACUGCGAGCGUGACGGCGCGAGCAGGUGCGAAAGCAGGUCAUAGUGAUCCGGUGGUUCUGAAUGGAAGGGCCAUCGCUCAACGGAUAAAAGGUACUCCGGGGAUAACAGGCUGAUACCGCCCAAGAGUUCAUAUCGACGGCGGUGUUUGGCACCUCGAUGUCGGCUCAUCACAUCCUGGGGCUGAAGUAGGUCCCAAGGGUAUGGCUGUUCGCCAUUUAAAGUGGUACGCGAGCUGGGUUUAGAACGUCGUGAGACAGUUCGGUCCCUAUCUGCCGUGGGCGCUGGAGAACUGAGGGGGGCUGCUCCUAGUACGAGAGGACCGGAGUGGACGCAUCACUGGUGUUCGGGUUGUCAUGCCAAUGGCACUGCCCGGUAGCUAAAUGCGGAAGAGAUAAGUGCUGAAAGCAUCUAAGCACGAAACUUGCCCCGAGAUGAGUUCUCCCUGAGACUUUAGGUCUCCUGAA